GACGAACGCUGGCGGCGUGCUUAACACAUGCAAGUCGAACGGAAAGGCCCUGCUUUUGUGGGGUGCUCGAGUGGCGAACGUGUGAGUAACACGUGAGUAACCUGCCCUUGACUUUGGGAUAACUUCAGGAAACUGUGGCUAAUACCGGAUAGGAGCUCCUGCUGCAUGGUGGGGGUUGGAAAGUUUCGGCGGUUGGGGAUGGACUCGCGGCUUAUCAGCUUGUUGGUGGGGUAGUGGCUUACCAAGGCUUUGACGGGUAGCCGGCCUGAGAGGGUGACCGGCCACAUUGGGACUGAGAUAAGGCCUAGACUACUACGGGAGGCAGCGGUGGGGAAUAGUGCACAAUGGGCGGAAGGCUGAUGCAGCAACGCCGCGUGGGGGAUGACGGCCUUCGGGUUGUAAACCGCUUUCGCCUGUGACGAAGCGUGAGUGACGGUAAUGGGUAAAGAAGCACCGGCUAACUACGUG
RNAcentral lists this ribosomal RNA (468 nucleotides) under uncultured bacterium. RNAcentral describes it as "partial 16S ribosomal RNA". It matches the Rfam family "Bacterial small subunit ribosomal RNA", at positions 28 to 507 of the family's 1533-position model. The record is from RNAcentral.